This 172-nucleotide ribosomal RNA is filed under the name uncultured bacterium. Its description in RNAcentral is "partial 16S ribosomal RNA". It matches the Rfam family "Bacterial small subunit ribosomal RNA", at positions 335 to 527 of the family's 1533-position model. The record is from RNAcentral.
AGUCUACGGGAGGCAGCAGUGAGGAAUCUUCCACAAUGGGCGAAAGCCUGAUGGAGCAACGCCGCGUGCAGGACGAAGGCCUUGGUUGUAAACUGCUUUAUAAGUGAGGAAUAUGACGGUAACUUAUGAAUAAGGAUCGGCUAACUACGUGCCAGCAGCCGCGGUAAUGACU